Molecule: long non-coding RNA, 1311 nt
Organism: Eupeodes corollae
Lineage: Eukaryota; Metazoa; Arthropoda; Insecta; Diptera; Syrphidae
Exons: 6
Source: RefSeq, a predicted model, not a curated record
UCUGCCAGUUUACCACCGCCAGUUUACCUCUGCCAGUUUACCUCCGCCGGUUUACCUCUGCCAGUUUACCUCUGGACAGUUUACCACCGCCUGUUUACCUCUGGACGGUUUACCUCCAGAGCAGGACAAAAAUGUUAUUAGGAAAUGCAGCGUAUCUUCUAAAAAAAGUUAGUUCCAAGCUUUUAAUUUUGCAAAAUAAAACAAUUCAUUUGGGAUUUUAAGAAACAAAACCUUUAUAAUGAAGUAAUUCAAGUUCAUUUUAAGGAAUCCUUCCUUCAAGGAAUCCGGGAUGCUAAGCUUUGCUCAAAAUAAGGCCGCUUUUUACAAACGCUGGACAUUGUGUGGACAUUGACAAUAAAUUCUAGACAAUUUGUAUAGAUUGUCCCCAAUUGCUGUUGAACCAUGAUCGGUGACAUCUGCCCCUAGAAACUACUCUUGCAGCAGCAACAAAAGCAACAUCUUCUUAUUCCACAGAGUACAACUGCGCGCGGCGAUUAGUUGUGAAAGUCCAGGCUUGUAGCUCCAAAUGUCACGCUGCCGCUAAAUGACUACACUUGCACACUUAGUUGGCUGAGACAGGGACUACUGCUGCCGCUGAGGCUUAUACAGUCGACACAUGCAGAUGAGGUACGUAACUAGACAGAAGGUCGAUUUCGAAGCAAUCUGUUCAGAGAAUAUAGCACAUAAAUGACGGGAGUUGGAUAUCAUUGGCAAGUCUUCUUCAAAAAUAAAUUAUAAUUAAUUUAAAUAAAGAAUAAUAGCAUCCUUUUUGAAUGUCCUACUUUAUAAUUCCAGGUAAUUUUAGUAAACUUAAAGACUGGCAAAAUAGAAGCCGAAUUCCAUGAAUUCAUAAAGUCAACUCCUGUGACUGCGCAAUCCGGAAACCUUGACCUACGCAAUUGGGAUUUUGGAAUUUGGCUCCAAAAAGAAUAUCAAAGUAAAUGACCUUAGAAGCCAAGAUUUUGUAUUCAUGACUGACUUACGAGCUCUAUUCCAGUAAUUCUAUAAUUAUAAUAGAAUCAAUAAUUGACCAGAAGGCUCAUGAUGGCAGGCGCAGGACUACUUCAAACAACAAAUCAAAAGGAAACUUCGAGGUCGAUUUGACUCAGCCGUUUAGUUGAUUCCACGACAUAGUUCGUCGUAGCGAAAGUAGUUAUUAUAUAAUGUUGUAAUUUUGUUUUUCAAAUUUGUAUGUAAUUUAGCUUAGUUAGUUUUUAAAAUUCAAUGGCAUUAUUUAAAGAUUAUAGACGUUAACAUUUAUUUAAGUUAUUGAGUAAUUAGAACAAAUAAAAACAAAUGUAAUUUUUUCAC